GACGAACGCUGGCGGCGUGCUUAACACAUGCAAGUCGAACGGAAAGGCCCUGCUUUUGUGGGGUGCUCGAGUGGCGAACGGGUGAGUAAAACGUGAGUAACCUGCCCUUGACUUUGGGAUAAAUUCAGGAAACUGGGGCUAAUACCGGAUAGGAGCUCCUGCUGCAUGGUGGGGGGUGGAAAGUUUCGGCGGUUGGGGAUGGACUCGCGGCUUAUCAGCUUGUUGGUGGGGUAGUGGCUUACCAAGGCUUUGACGGGUAGCCGGCCUGAGAGGGUGACCGGCCACAUUGGGACUGAGAUACGGCCCAGACUCCUACGGGCGGCAGCAGUGGGGAAUAUUGCACAAUGGGCGGAAGCCUGAUGCAGCAACGCCGCGUGCGGGAUGACGUCCUUCGGGUUGUAAACCGCUUUCGCCUGUGACGAAGCGUCAGUGACGGUAAUUGGUAAAGAAGCACCGGCUAACUACGUG
RNAcentral lists this ribosomal RNA (468 nucleotides) under uncultured bacterium. RNAcentral describes it as "partial 16S ribosomal RNA". It matches the Rfam family "Bacterial small subunit ribosomal RNA", at positions 28 to 507 of the family's 1533-position model. The record is from RNAcentral.